RNAcentral lists this ribosomal RNA (253 nucleotides) under uncultured bacterium. RNAcentral's name for it is "partial 16S ribosomal RNA". It matches the Rfam family "Bacterial small subunit ribosomal RNA", at positions 524 to 776 of the family's 1533-position model. The record is from RNAcentral.
UACGUAGGGGGCGAGCGUUAAUCGGAAUUACUGGGCGUAAAGCGUGUGCAGGCGGUCUGUUAAGACAGGUGUGAAAUCCCCGGGCUCAACCUGGGAACUGCAUUUGUGACUGCAUGGCUAGAGUACGGUAGAGGGGGAUGGAAUUCCGCGUGUAGCAGUGAAAUGCGUAGAUAUGCGGAGGAACACCGAUGGCGAAGGCAAUCCCCUGGACCUGUACUGACGCUCAUGCACGAAAGCGUGGGGAGCAAACAGG